Molecule: long non-coding RNA, 481 nt
Organism: Daphnia pulex (common water flea)
Lineage: Eukaryota; Metazoa; Arthropoda; Branchiopoda; Diplostraca; Daphniidae
Exons: 4
Source: RefSeq, a predicted model, not a curated record
GCCUAACAGCUGGACGUUCAGGCCCACGUAAAAAGUGGGCCUGAAAGCCGAGGCCUCAAUCAAACUGAUUGACAUAUCCGUAUCAGCUGUUCACAUCUUAUUUCUCUCAAGUUCAUUGCCAACAUAAUGAGAUGAUAUGCAUUCUUCCGUCUAACAUUAACGUGUUGUUUUGGCUGCAAUUUUGACUGCUUCACCUGUUUAACCAUUUUCUUUGUGUUUUGAAUGAUGAGCGGUGAAUUAUAUUGCAGUCUCUACUUCCUGUCACAGAAUGUAUUCCCAUGGUGGUCGAUCCAUUUCACUAUUUGCAAAGUGCUCUGCAACUAGUGUUUGAUUGCCAGUCGUUCUGUAUGGAUGAGUUUCAAUUGCAACAUCUGCUGUCAACAGUUUAGGUAGUUAAACUGAUUGACGUUUCCAUAUCAGCUGUUCACAUCUUGUUUCUCUCCAGUUCAUUGCCAACAUAAUCAGAUGUAAGUUUGAUUCU